Molecule: long non-coding RNA, 1934 nt
Filed under: Pan troglodytes (chimpanzee)
Lineage: Eukaryota; Metazoa; Chordata; Mammalia; Primates; Hominidae
Description: long non-coding RNA NONPTRT011774
Source: RNAcentral
CAAGACCAGCCUGGGCAACGUGGCGAACCCUGUCUCUACAAAAAUUGCCCAGGUGUGAUGGCAUGCAACUAUAGUCCCAGCUACUUGGGAGGCUGAGGUGGGAGGAUCACCUGAGCCUGGGAGGUCAAUGAUACAGCGAGCCAGGCUUGCGCCACUGCACUCCAGCCUGGGUGACAGCGAGACCCUGUCCCAGAAACAAAACUUCUCUAGUAACACAUUUUCUUUUCCUCAUUUCAGCCUAAAUUAACAAUGGCGAAAUGCAGGCGAAAUGUGGAAAAUUUCCUAGAAGCUUGCAGAAAAAUUGGUGUACCUCAGGAGCAAUUAUGUUUGCCUCUCCACAUUUUAGAAGAGAAAGGUUUGAGCCAGGUUGCAGUGACGGUCCAGGCUCUCCUGGAACUUGCCCCACCCAAGCAACAGCAGCACCAGUUAUCUGCUGUUUGAGGAUCCCCAGGACGGUGGGCACUGGCCUGGCCAAAACAAGGAACAGGACACCGUGAUUGCUGCUGCCAGCUGUCUGCUUAAACAAAGCUCUUAUGUGUUCUCAGAAGGGACCGUUCCCAUGAUUCCUAACAGGAAUAUUUUGCUUCAUUUCUCCAUUUUAGGGGAGGUUAUUUCCAUUUCCAUUGGAUUUUUUACGAAGACACCAUUGGUUUUCUCAGAUGAAACUUCUCUUACUGAAAACCCAGCACCUAACUUGGCUGUGUUUUCCUGGAGAGCAGGCGUGUUUCACGUGCCAGAAAGCACAUCUUCUGUGUUAGGCACAAGCAUGCUGUGCCAUUGUUUUUACCUGGUCUCAAGACAACUGGUCUGCUGGUUUCUAAACUUGGUUGUUCAUUAGACUCUCCUGGAGUAUUUGUUAAAAUACAGAUUCACAUUCAGUAGAUCUGGGGUAAGGCCUAGGAAUCUGCAUUUUCAACAACCAUUGCACAUGUUUUUGUUUUUGUUGGAGAAGGAGUUCUGCUCAGUCGCCCAGGCUGGAGUGCAGUGGCAUAAUCUCAGCUCACUGCAACCUCCGCCUCCCGGGCUCAAGCGAUUCUCCUGCCUCAGCCUCCCGAGUAGCUGGGACAACAGGCGCCCGCCACCACGCCUGGCUAAUUUUCUUGUAUUUUUAGUAGAGAUGGGAUUUUGUCAUGUUGGCCAGGCUGGUCUCAAACUCCUGACUUCAAGUGAUCCACCUGCCUCGGCCUCCCAAAAUGCUGGGAUUACAGGCGUGAGCCACUGUGCCUGGCCUCCCAGAGUGCUGGGAUGACAGGCGUGAGCCCCCGCGCCCGGCCUCCGAGAGUGCUGGGAUUACAGGCGUGAGCCACUGUGCCCGGCCUCUGAGGGUGCUGGGAUUACAGGCGUGAGCCACUGCGCCCGGCCCAUUGCACGUGUUUUUCAUGUAGUGGAACCACUGUUCAAAGCUAGAUAUUUGUAUGUUUGCGGGGGAGGGUAAUGGCCCCCUGCAUUUUUCACCCACAUUUAAAAUCAAAAGCUAUAUUAUGAGGAGUUGGACUGUUCUGUCAAAGGCAAAACAAAAAUAAUAUAGAAGGCCUAGGUUUUGCAUAGUCUUAUUUUUUUUAAGAGUUGGGGUCUUGCCGUAUUGCCCAGGCUGGUCUGAAACUCCUGGGCUCAACUGAUCCUCCCGCCUCAGCCUCCCAAAGUGCUGGGAUUACUGGAGUGAGCCAUCGGGCCUGGCCCAGAUUUUGCAUAGUAAAACAGUGAAACAGAUACAGUUGUAUUUAAGGUCAGUAUUCUAGGCCUCCCUUCAACUGCAGUCAUACCAUCAUAGAAGAUAGUUCUAUGUCAUCCUGUUAUCUGGACAUUAUAAUAAACAGCAAGCCCUCUAUACACAGGUUCCAAAUCCCAUUAUCUAGACAUUAUCAACAACAAGCCCUCUCUCUAUACAGAGUUUCCAAAUUCUGAAGCUGAUAGCGCACUUGGUCUCACUGAGC